AGGGCACCACCAGGAGUGGAGCCUGCGGCUUAAUUUGACUCAACACGGGAAAACUCACCCGGCCCGGACACCGUAAGGAUUGACAGAUUGAUAGCUUUUUCAUGAUUCGGUGGAUGGUGGUGCAUGGCCGUUCUUAGUUCGUGGAUCGAUUUGUCUGGUUUAUUCCGAUAACGAGCGAGACUCCAGCCUACUAACUAGUACGGGCAUUGCCUCUGUGCCCGGCACUUCUUAGAGGGAUUGGCUGCGUCUAGCGGCAUGAAACGGAGCAAUAACAGGUCUGUGAUGCCCUUAGAUGUCCGGGGCUGCACGCGCGCUACACUGGCAAAGGCAGCGUGCUUGUCCUUCUCCGAAAGGAGCGGGUAAACCCUUGAAAAUUUGCCGUGAUUGGGAUCGGAAAUUGCAAUUAUUUUCCGUGAACGAGGAAUUCCUAGUAAGUGCGAGUCAUCAGCUCGCGUUGAUUACGUCCCUGCCCUUUGUACACACCGCCCGUCGCUGCCUAGAACUGAGCCAUUUCGAGAA
This 519-nucleotide ribosomal RNA is filed under the name uncultured eukaryote. Its description in RNAcentral is "SSU rRNA". It matches the Rfam family "Eukaryotic small subunit ribosomal RNA", at positions 1161 to 1705 of the family's 1831-position model. The record is from RNAcentral.